CGCCAGACUCCUACGGGAGGCAGCAGUGGGGAAUAUUGCACAAUGGGGGAAACCCUGAUGCAGCGACGCCGCGUGAGUGAAGAAGUAUUUCGGUAUGUAAAGCUCUAUCAGCAGGGAAGAAAAUGACGGUACCUGACUAAGAAGCCCCGGCUAACUACGUGCCAGCAGCCGCGGUAAUACGUAGGGGGCAAGCGUUAUCCGGAUUUACUGGGUGUAAAGGGAGCGUAGACGGCAUGGCAAGUCAGAUGUGAAAGCCCGGGGCUCAACCCCGGGACUGCAUUUGAAACUGUCAGGCUGGAGUGCAGGAGAGGUAAGUGGAAUUCCUAGUGUAGCGGUGAAAUGCGUAGAUAUUAGGAGGAACACCAGUGGCGAAGGCGGCUUACUGGACGGUAACUGACGUUGAGGCUCGAAAGCGUGGGGAGCAAACAGGAUUAGAUACCCCAGUAU
This 447-nucleotide ribosomal RNA is filed under the name uncultured bacterium. RNAcentral's name for it is "bacterial SSU rRNA". It matches the Rfam family "Bacterial small subunit ribosomal RNA", at positions 329 to 793 of the family's 1533-position model. The record is from RNAcentral.